UGGGGAAUAUUGCACAAUGGGCGAAAGCCUGAUGCAGCGACGCCGCGUGAGGGAUGACGGCCUUCGGGUUGUAAACCUCUUUCAGCAGGGACGAAGCGCAAGUGACGGUACCUGCAGAAGAAGCACCGGCUAACUACGUGCCAGCAGCCGCGGUAAUACAGAGGGGGCAAGCGUUAUUCGGAAUUAUUGGGCGUAAAGGGCGCGUAGGCGGCUUCGCAAGUGGUGGGUGAAAUCCCUCGGCUUAACCGAGGAACUGCCCUCCAAACUGCGUUGCUUGAGUCCGGGAGAGGUGAGUGGAAUUCCUGGUGUAGCGGUGAAAUGCGCAGAUAUCAGGAGGAACACCGGUGGCGAAGGCGGGUCUCUGGGCCGAUACUGACGCUGAGGAGCGAAAGCGUGGGGAGCGAACAGGAUUAGAUACCCUGGUAGUCCACGCCGUAAACGGUGGGUGCUAGGUGUGGGGGGCUUCCACGUCCUCCGUGCCGCAGCUAACGCAUUAAGCACCCCGCCUGGGGAGUACGGCCGCAAGGCUAA
Molecule: ribosomal RNA, 531 nt
Filed under: uncultured Pseudonocardiaceae bacterium
Lineage: Bacteria; Bacillati; Actinomycetota; Actinomycetes; Pseudonocardiales; Pseudonocardiaceae
Description: bacterial SSU rRNA
Rfam family: Bacterial small subunit ribosomal RNA
Source: RNAcentral